AAGCGAAGCCCGCAGGCAAUGAAGACUGCUAAUCUCCCCCUAUUUGGUUGAACUCCAAAACUCGCUUG
RNAcentral lists this transfer RNA (68 nucleotides) under Channa pulchra. Its description in RNAcentral is "tRNA-Ser". Lineage: Eukaryota; Metazoa; Chordata; Actinopteri; Anabantiformes; Channidae. The record is from RNAcentral.